CCAGCGGACCAGACGGUCGCCUCCGCCUUGCGUGGAGGAGGAAAGUCCGGACUCCAUAGGACAGGGUGGCCGUUAACGGCGGCCUCGAGCGAUCGGGGGAAAGUGCCACAGAAAACAUACCGCCCGGCGGAUCCCGGUCGAACCGGACCGGCGGGUAAGGUUGAAAAGGCGAGGUAAGAGCUCACCGGUCCGCCAGUGAUGGCGGGCGCAUGGUAAACCCCACCCGGAGCAAGACCAAAUAGGAGGGUUGGGUCGUCCGCCUGAAGCCCUCGGGUAAGGUCGCUGGACCCCGCGAGCAAUCACGGGGCUAGAUGAAUGACCGUCCCGCUUCUCGUUGGGAAGCGUCACAGAAUCCGGCUUACCGGUCCGCUGGUCCC
This 377-nucleotide RNase P RNA is filed under the name Deltaproteobacteria bacterium. RNAcentral describes it as "RNase P RNA component class A". It matches the Rfam family "Bacterial RNase P class A". Rfam says of the family: Ribonuclease P (RNase P) is a ubiquitous endoribonuclease, found in archaea, bacteria and eukarya as well as chloroplasts and mitochondria. Its best characterised activity is the generation of mature 5'-ends of tRNAs by cleaving the 5'-leader elements of precursor-tRNAs. The record is from RNAcentral. Lineage: Bacteria; Pseudomonadati; Myxococcota; Myxococcia.